This is an RNA transcript of Rosa chinensis, 778 nucleotides long. RefSeq lists it as uncharacterized. The transcript is spliced from 5 exons. The record is from RefSeq and is a predicted model, not a curated record. NCBI's taxonomy places the organism in Eukaryota, Viridiplantae, Streptophyta, Magnoliopsida, Rosales, Rosaceae.
UAUAUUCUCGCAUUCUCUAUUAACGUCUUCCUGCACUACUUUUCUAACUAUGGUUGUGGGUUUCAUGUAUUUGCAAGUCACUCAAAACAAAUUGUAAGGGUGAGUAUGUCAAUGUGGAUCCAAACAAUGCGUUAUGUGUAGAUGAUCUUGAUCAAUACAAUGAGUGUAUCGCAGACAUAAACACACCCCAAAUAUUGGAACCUUAUUGUACUGUUUCUUCUCCAAAUCCACUAGGGUCAGAGUGGGAUUCAGACGAUCUCAAUCAAGACUCUGUAAAUCUCCUUUCUCUUCCUCAACUUUCCAGGCCAUGGUGUCGAAGUUACAUUUAUCGUUUCUCUUAUAUCUGGGCAAAUAAUAAAACUGUUCAAGAUGCUCUUCAUGUUCGGGAGGCAAGUUGCUCAGCAGAUUCUAAAUUUACAGUAACAUCAAGUUCACAUUACUUUAACCUUGAUGAUUAAUCUUGAUUUUAAAAAUCACAAUCAGGGAAGCAUCAAGGACUGGCAGAGAUGCAAUAAGACCUUAUCAGCUUCAUAUAUAUCUGAUGUUUCUUCUAGUCUGGUUUAUCAUCAGAACCUCAUAAAAAAAAGCUAUAGAGUUCUGAUAUACAGUGGUGAUCAUGACAUGGUGGUUCCAUAUUUGGGUACUAUUGCUUGGAUAGAAUCUCUAAACCUGACAGUUGACAGUAGUUGGAAACCAUGGUUCGUGAAUGGACAAAUCGCAGGAUACAGAGUGCAGUAUACAUAUAAAAAGUACCAGUUGACAUUUACAACUAUAAAGG